UACGUAGGGGGCAAGCGUUGUCCGGAUUCAUUGGGCGUAAAGAGCGUGUAGGCGGCCAGGUAGGUCGGUUGUGAAAACUGGAGGCUCAACCUUCAGAGGUCGACCGAAACCAUCUGGCUAGAGUCCGGGAGAGGAGAGUGGAAUUCCUGGUGUAGCGGUGAAAUGCGCAGAUAUCAGGAAGAACACCCGUGGCGAAAGCGGCUCUCUGGAACGGUACUGACGCUGAGGCGCGAAAGCCAGGGGAGCAAACGGG
Molecule: ribosomal RNA, 253 nt
Filed under: uncultured bacterium
Lineage: Bacteria
Description: partial 16S ribosomal RNA
Rfam family: Bacterial small subunit ribosomal RNA
Source: RNAcentral